Molecule: long non-coding RNA, 78 nt
Organism: Sinocyclocheilus grahami
Lineage: Eukaryota; Metazoa; Chordata; Actinopteri; Cypriniformes; Cyprinidae
Exons: 3
Source: RefSeq, a predicted model, not a curated record
GGAGCAGGGUCAGAAAUUACCUUUUACAUUAAGAGGCAAUUUUUGCCCCCUGGAAUUGAUUUUCAGUCACAUUUUACC